AACCCAUGGUGAGGGCACCUUCUCAAUAAAUCCUUGUAUCUCUCCCAUGCAUCAUAGAGUGUCUCUAGAUCUAUUUGCACAAAAGAAGAGAUAUUAUUCCUCAACUU
This is a small nucleolar RNA of Gossypium arboreum, 107 nucleotides long. The record is from RefSeq and is a predicted model, not a curated record. Lineage: Eukaryota; Viridiplantae; Streptophyta; Magnoliopsida; Malvales; Malvaceae.